AUCCAUGUUCAAAAUUUCAUGAAGAUCAAGCUAGCAAAGAAGUUAGAUACUAUGAAUUUCUAUCCAUAAGAUCGUCAACCUUUGUAAUGUAGCAUAGGUUGUUAUCCAGUUGUCAGGCUUGAUGCUCCAACUGAUCAAGAGUUUUGUACAGAACACUCUACUUGGUAAAUAAUAAUGCACAUUAUUUACCCAAAAAAAGGCUCUUUUAAGUUAGUAAAAUGUUAGUUAUUUGUUGACCCUUGCACUCCAUCGCAAAAUCACCUGCAGAAUGAUGGGAAUCAGAGACCAAAAGAGGGAGAAAAGAAGAAAAGAAAGCAAGAGGAAGAAACUUUUGAACACAACUGGAAAAAAGCAUAAAGGUCAGUAACAUGGAGGCAACAUUGUUGUUCAUGUACAGAAGCAGUGAAGAAAGCUAAGGCGA
This 421-nucleotide long non-coding RNA is filed under the name Solanum tuberosum (potato). Its description in RNAcentral is "long non-coding RNA (STUB_LNC001382)". Lineage: Eukaryota; Viridiplantae; Streptophyta; Magnoliopsida; Solanales; Solanaceae. The record is from RNAcentral.